UUUUAGUUCAGUUGGUAGAACGCAGGUCUCCAAAACCUGAUGUCGAAGGUUCAAGUCCUUCAG
RNAcentral lists this transfer RNA (63 nucleotides) under uncultured eukaryote. It matches the Rfam family "tRNA", at positions 6 to 65 of the family's 71-position model. Rfam says of the family: Transfer RNA (tRNA) molecules are approximately 80 nucleotides in length. Their secondary structure includes four short double-helical elements and three loops (D, anti-codon, and T loops). The record is from RNAcentral.